This 1008-nucleotide long non-coding RNA is filed under the name Homo sapiens (human). RNAcentral's name for it is "HSALNT0290166". The record is from RNAcentral. Lineage: Eukaryota; Metazoa; Chordata; Mammalia; Primates; Hominidae.
GUCUCGUGUGUUCUACUCACUGGCAUCCCUGCCUGGACUGGGAAAAAGUCAUCACCCUCUGCCCAAGCCCUGUGCAGCUUGGCCCACCUGAGCCUCUUGCUACUGAAAUGACUCUCCUUCCCUUAUAUCACCAGAAGAGAUGGGUCCACCUAGAGGAAGGAGCAAAACAGGAGUUAAACUGCAGAGCAUGAUCAAGAGUCGGUCUCACUCACCCUGAUUCGGGAAGUUGGAUUCCACCACUCUGUGGUUCAGGGGCUGGGUCCUGCGGUAAUCGUUGUGGAUGGUCUUGUUGCGGUGAUCCAGUAAGGAAUUCUCCAGCUUCCAAACCUGGGGGCAACGUCCGGAGAUUGACAGCACGGAAGGAGCACAGUGAUCUUCCAUCGAGUCAAUGUUUCCAAGAACUGUGAGCUCAGGAAAAGAUGAAGAGUGAUAAUAAAGAAGACUGUUCAACUAGACUUCACACCUUGUUUGGACAUCAACCUAUAACUUCAAAUACAGACACACAUGGGUAGUUUCUGCUUACCUCAACGAAGGCUGCCAGUACAGCCAAACCAUCCGGCGCAUCUUGGGCUAUAUCAUAGCUCUUGUAUUUAGAAUUGUAGUGAACAAUGUGAAUCUGUAAGAGCAAGGUAGAGUGGGUCAAGGGCAGUUCAUAGAAAUUCAAAUGCUUAAGAUUUCCAGGGAAGGAGGAAGAGAAAGAAAGGUGCUCCGUCUGAGGCCUCAGACUGUUCCACACAAGCAACUUGGACCUCCAUCUCUCUCCAUCUGGGCUGCAAUUCCUAUCUAUCAAGAGCAGAAACUUCCCCAAGAAUGGAAAGAGCAAGAGUGGGAUUCUGGAAGAUGGCAGUUCGAGGCCAUUUCCCGACCACACCUCCCUCCAGGCAGACAAGCUGGCAGAGUCUGAAGGGAUCACAUGAGGACAGUGGGUUCUCCUGGAGUGUCUGGGGGCUUUGCAGGGAGAGUGAGCUUGCGCCCCUUGUCCCAGGCAACCAUUGUUAACAUGUAGUC